Molecule: transfer RNA, 72 nt
Organism: Lichtheimia corymbifera
Lineage: Eukaryota; Fungi; Mucoromycota; Mucoromycetes; Mucorales; Lichtheimiaceae
Rfam family: tRNA
About the family: Transfer RNA (tRNA) molecules are approximately 80 nucleotides in length. Their secondary structure includes four short double-helical elements and three loops (D, anti-codon, and T loops).
Source: Rfam
GCCACUUUAACUCAGUGGUAGAGUGUUGCUCUCGUAAAGCAAAAGUCGUGUGUUCGAUCCGCACAAGUGGCA